UACGUAGGGUGCAAGCGUUGUCCGGAAUUAUUGGGCGUAAAGAGCUCGUAGGCGGUUUGUUGCGUCGGCUGUGAAAUCCCGAGGCUCAACCUCGGGUCUGCAGUCGAUACGAGCAAACUAGAGUGUUGCAGGGGAGACUGGAAUUCCUGGUGUAGCGGUGAAAUGCGCAGAUAUCAGGAGGAACACCUAUGGCGAAGGCAGCUCUCUGGGGACG
This 214-nucleotide ribosomal RNA is filed under the name uncultured bacterium. Its description in RNAcentral is "partial 16S ribosomal RNA". It matches the Rfam family "Bacterial small subunit ribosomal RNA", at positions 524 to 738 of the family's 1533-position model. The record is from RNAcentral.